GUUCCGUCAAGAACUAUGGUCGGGCUAAUAGCUUUCGUGAACUUUCAGUUCGCUUCUGACUCGGAACGGUUAAGGACUCCACCGUCCUCGAGGUCAGGAGGAGGCUUUAUACUGCCACAGAAGUUGUCAGAAAAAAGCGGGCAAAGAAAGUCCGAAAUGAACAGACAGAACAAGACGUGUUCCUGUGUUUGUUCCCGCGUUCUGUGAGCCAUGUUCCUUUGUUCGAGUGCCUGUGUUGGUGCCCCGGUGUUUCCCCUAAUAUUGUAAUGUUUGGUUAGAUAUUAAAUAAAGCCAUCUCUACAA
Molecule: long non-coding RNA, 303 nt
Organism: Penaeus monodon (black tiger shrimp)
Lineage: Eukaryota; Metazoa; Arthropoda; Malacostraca; Decapoda; Penaeidae
Exons: 2
Source: RefSeq, a predicted model, not a curated record